Molecule: ribosomal RNA, 292 nt
Filed under: uncultured bacterium
Lineage: Bacteria
Description: partial 16S ribosomal RNA
Rfam family: Bacterial small subunit ribosomal RNA
Source: RNAcentral
GUGUCAGCAGCCGCGGUAAGACAGAGGGUGCAAACGUUGUUCGGAAUUACUGGGCGUAAAGCGCGUGUAGGCUGUUCGGCAAGUCGGAUGUGAAAGCCCUGGGCUCAACUCAGGAAGUGCACUCGAAACUGCCGAACUAGAGUCCUGGAGAGGAAGGCGGAAUUCUCGGUGUAGAGGUGAAAUUCGUAGAUAUCGAGAGGAACACCGGUGGCGAAGGCGGCCUUCUGGACAGUGACUGACGCUGAGACGCGAAAGCGUGGGGAGCAAACAGGAUUAGAUACCCUUGUAGUCC